ACCUACACACGCGAACAAAUCAAGUUCAGAUGACAAGAAAAUACAAAUGGGUUUCCUAUACUGUCAACAGUGGGUACAAUUUGUUUUUGUCAAACUAGUGAUUUAUGGAGGUAGCUUUGUCACUGAUGUUUGGACUAAAUGAAGCUAGACCUUAUAAGAACCUAAAUGAACAUUAAAAAUACAAUAAAUUUAAAAAUCAAAAUCAGAAAAAGGAAAGGAAGGCUAACAUACGAGUACUAUUCGAAGGUGCAGUAGAAAUAGAGCCUGGUUGAGCUCAAUUUGUUUCUGUUUUGGAAAGGGAGUUGGGGAUAAUUGAAUAACUUAAGAGGAACCUAAAAAUAAUGAACAAAGGUCCGCACACCUUUGAACCCUCACAACUUGUCACUCCCUUCCUCCCGAUUCAAACUUUGUUUUCACUUCUCCACUCUCUCUCAAAUUUUUUAGAGUAGAAUUUUAUAAUUUUUUUUACAAGAUAGAU
Molecule: long non-coding RNA, 478 nt
Filed under: Carica papaya (papaya)
Lineage: Eukaryota; Viridiplantae; Streptophyta; Magnoliopsida; Brassicales; Caricaceae
Description: long non-coding RNA (CPAP_LNC008616)
Source: RNAcentral